Molecule: ribosomal RNA, 253 nt
Filed under: uncultured bacterium
Lineage: Bacteria
Description: partial 16S ribosomal RNA
Rfam family: Bacterial small subunit ribosomal RNA
Source: RNAcentral
UACGGGGGGGGCAAGCGUUGUUCGGAAUUACUGGGCGUAAAGGGCUCGUAGGCGGCCAACUAAGUCAGACGUGAAAUCCCUCGGCUUAACCGGGGAACUGCGUCUGAUACUGGAUGGCUAGAGGUUGGGAGAGGGAUGCGGAAUUCCAGGUGUAGCGGUGAAAUGCGUAGAUAUCUGGAGGAACACCUAUGGCGAAGGCAGCUCGCUGGGACGUUACUGACGCUGAGACGCGAAAGCGUGGGGAGCAAACAGG